UACGAAGGGGGCUAGCGUUGUUCGGAAUUACUGGGCGUAAAGCGCACGUAGGCGGGUUUGUAAGUAGGGGGUGAAAUCCCAGGGCUCAACCCUGGAACUGCCUUCUAAACUGCAAGCCUGGAGGUCAGGAGAGGCGAGUGGAAUACCGAGUGUAGAGGUGAAAUUCGUAGAUAUUCGGUGGAACACCAGUGGCGAAGGCGACUCGCUGGACUGAUACUGACGCUGAGGUGCGAAAAGCGUGGGGAGCAAACAGG
This 254-nucleotide ribosomal RNA is filed under the name uncultured bacterium. RNAcentral's name for it is "partial 16S ribosomal RNA". It matches the Rfam family "Bacterial small subunit ribosomal RNA", at positions 524 to 776 of the family's 1533-position model. The record is from RNAcentral.